Molecule: ribosomal RNA, 463 nt
Filed under: uncultured bacterium
Lineage: Bacteria
Description: partial 16S ribosomal RNA
Rfam family: Bacterial small subunit ribosomal RNA
Source: RNAcentral
AGUGAACGCUGGCGGCGUGCCUAAUACAUGCAAGUCGAACGAUGAAGUCCUAGCUUGCUCGGAUGGAUUAGUGGCGCACGGGUGAGUAAUAUAUAGUUAAUCUGCCCUACACAGAGGAACAACAGUUGGAAACGACUGCUAAUACCUCAUACUCCUAUUUGACAUAAGUUAAAUAGGGAAAGUCUUUUCGGUGUAGGAUGAGACUAUAUCGUAUCAGCUAGUUGGUAAGGUAAUGGCUUACCAAGGCUAUGACGCGUAACUGGUCUGAGAGGAUGAUCAGUCACAUUGGAACUGAGACACGGUCCAAACUCCUACGGGAGGCAGCAGUAAGGAAUAGUGCGCAAUGGGGGAAACCCUGACGCAGCAACGCCGCGUGGAGGAUGACACUUUUCGGAGCGUAAACUCCUUUUAUCAGGAAAGAAUAAUGACGGUACCUGAUGAAUAAGCACCGGCUAACUCCGUG